UGGGGAAUAUUGCACAAUGGGCGAAAGCCUGAUGCAGCGACGCCGCGUGAGGGAUGACGGCCUUCGGGUUGUAAACCUCUUUCAGCAGGGACGAAGCGCAAGUGACGGUACCUGCAGAAGAAGCACCGGCUAACUACGUGCCAGCAGCCGCGGUAAUACGUAGGGUGCAAGCGUUGUCCGGAAUUACUGGGCGUAAAGAGUUCGUAGGCGGUUUGUCGCGUCGUUUGUGAAAACCAGCAGCUCAACUGCUGGCUUGCAGGCGAUACGGGCAGACUUGAGUACUGCAGGGGAGACUGGAAUUCCAGGUGUAGCGGUGAAAUGCGCAGAUAUCAGGAGGAACACCGGUGGCGAAGGCGGGUCUCUGGGCAGUAACUGACGCUGAGGAACGAAAGCGUGGGUAGCGAACAGG
RNAcentral lists this ribosomal RNA (409 nucleotides) under Bacillota bacterium. Its description in RNAcentral is "Firmicutes bacterium partial 16S ribosomal RNA". It matches the Rfam family "Bacterial small subunit ribosomal RNA", at positions 355 to 776 of the family's 1533-position model. Lineage: Bacteria; Bacillati; Bacillota. The record is from RNAcentral.